GCCGGUUUGCUGGAAUCGGCAGACGGGGCGGACUCAAAAAUCCGUUGGUAGUGAUACCGUGUGGGUUCAAGUCCCACAACCGGCACCA
This 88-nucleotide transfer RNA is filed under the name Paraclostridium bifermentans. RNAcentral describes it as "tRNA-Leu". It matches the Rfam family "tRNA". Rfam says of the family: Transfer RNA (tRNA) molecules are approximately 80 nucleotides in length. Their secondary structure includes four short double-helical elements and three loops (D, anti-codon, and T loops). Lineage: Bacteria; Bacillati; Bacillota; Clostridia; Peptostreptococcales; Peptostreptococcaceae. The record is from RNAcentral.